CGAGUCUGACUGUAUCUGAGCCCCCUCUCAGGACGAGGGUAAUUCUGCCUAAAGGCCCCCGUCCAACGAUCGAUACUGGGCCUAAAAAGAGAGGACGUAGGCGGCUUGGAAAGCCCGGUGGAAUCCCUCGGCUCAACCGAGGAACUGCGCUCAAAACUGCCAGGCUAGAGGAAGAUAGAGGUGAGCGGAACUAAUGGUGGAGCGGUGAAAUGCGUUGAUAUCAUUAGGAACACCUGUGGCGAAAGCGGCUCACUGGAUCUUUUCUGACGCUGAGGCACGAAAGCUAGGGUAGCGAACGGGAUUAGAUACCCCGGUAGUCCUAGCCGUAAACGAUGAGCACUAGGUUGGAGGCUCCUUCACAGGCUUCCGACCGAAGCGAAAGUGUUAAGUGCUCCGCCUGGGGAGUAUGGUCGCAAGGCUGAAACUCAAAGGAA
This 434-nucleotide ribosomal RNA is filed under the name uncultured Planctomycetota bacterium. RNAcentral describes it as "bacterial SSU rRNA". It matches the Rfam family "Bacterial small subunit ribosomal RNA", at positions 1 to 909 of the family's 1533-position model. The record is from RNAcentral. Lineage: Bacteria; Pseudomonadati; Planctomycetota.